This is a non-coding RNA of Linepithema humile (Argentine ant), 4558 nucleotides long. The record is from RefSeq and is a predicted model, not a curated record. NCBI's taxonomy places the organism in Eukaryota, Metazoa, Arthropoda, Insecta, Hymenoptera, Formicidae.
AACAUUUUUAUAUUUUUUAGUGUGCAAUAUAAAAUUAUCCUGACUUUUGGUCAUACUGUUUCAUUUUGUGUGUGAAUUUUAAACCCCCACCCCGAAAAAAUAUCCUGAGUGCGCCACUGGUAGGAUUAAUAUGUAAAAGCGCGGUCCGCGGGUUAAAUCGAGCCCGCGUUAUGCAUUCUAGGGGUUAACUCGAGUCGCGCGGCGGCGGCUACUUCACAAUUUUCUACGCGACGCACGCACGGCGGCGCUCCGCAAAUUUAUUCGUAAGAGUGUACGACAUGCGCGCGCGCGCACGAGGUGAGCAUCUACCACCUAUGCAGGCUAUCUCAUGAACGGAUACGAUGCAGCAGGAAGCGCACGAUUACCGGACUCACUCCGAUGCAUUCCCGGCGCUGCAUGUGCGGCAGCUGUGCUAGGAGAUGCGCCGCGGUUUCCAUCCCGGUCGCGCAAUCUCCCGUCGGCCCGAUUUCGAGAAGCGGCAGAAUGAGACGGCGCUAAUUAUAGGUGCGUCGCUUUUUCCGCGCGCGUCUCUCACGAUAAACGCACAGCUCUGUACCGAUGGCCGCUGAUACAUCCAGUUCGAUACGGCAAUUUACGACAAAAAAAAUGAAUAUUUUCUACCCAAAAGAUUAAAACAUUUUCGUUGAAAGAGCUUCGAGACUCUCGAAACGUCGAUGGUUCUCAAAUUACAAUCAAAUGGGAAAGUUUUCGCCGCUUUGUUGUCGAUAAUUAGCUUUUUUCCAAUUAGUAUACAUUUGUAUUAAUCGCAUAUUCAUCUUACAGACAGCGGGGCUUCAGAAUCCACGAUCCAGAGAUCGUUAUUCGAAAUUCGAAGUUGUAGAUCCAAGAUCGAAGCUUCAAGCUCUGCAAGAUCGUGUAGAAGCGUUGCGCGUCAACUUAUUUGUUCGCGGCGAUAAGGAUAAAAAGAGGCGAGUCAUACACCUACCGUCGGCGCGGCAAAAAGAUGGCUGUUCACGGAUAUUAUCGCGGCGAUCGUUAUUCAGAACGGCGGCACGACAACGGCGACAUGCCUGCUGCAUAAUUUUGCGGCGUGGUUGUUGACGAGAAACGACGUUCCCUUGACCCGGGGAAUAAAUAAACUGAGGAAACCGCGCAGCGCCACGGUGUGCUCUCACGGGAAUACUUGCCGAUACUUUUCAUUGAGAAUCCCCGGAGCACGCCGAGCCGGCUUUAACACCGCAUCAUCGAUGAGACCGCUCAAUUAGUGGCGGAAACACUGGCUCUCAUCGCUGACGUCGCAAGGUGAUUAGCUCGACCUCACGCAUCCCGUGACUUCCUACAUUUCGUUACGUUCCUGGUAUAUUCGUGUUCGAUGACAUCCAUUUUGGAUUUCCCACGCGCUUGCUUUUAUGACAAAAGGUACAAUUUGAACUAAAAAGAUAUUGGUAUGCGCUCGAUUUUUGUCGUGAUUCUUAGAACUUGAUUAGCCGUCGCUAAAGCAAAGCUAUUUUUUUUAACACUCCCAUCGCUCAUGUAUGCACGUGUGCAUGUGUGGAUUAUUUGUUCUAAAAACAGAUAUUUCUUCUAUCGCAUCAUCUAUCUUUCGCUCGUAUUGUUCAGCGAAGAAAAAUUUUGAUGAUGUUAUCGUGAUGCACGCAGGUGCUUGGAGCUAAUAGCGAAAGGCAACUUUGAGUUGUUGGCUGAGCAUCACGUGUUACACAAGCCUAUCGUCAAGAAUCCGAUUUGCGUGAAUCACCAAAGGAAAUGACUCGGCCAGAUUGCCCGCCCAGGUAUUGGUUCCGUUCGCCUGUACUCAUCUUGCACUCGAGCGGAUUGUCUGCAAUCGUCUACGCAGUUAAGAGAAACGCCUUAUCGUCGGCGUACGCGAUGAUAAGUCGCGGUCUUAUUGUUAUCAAUGCGCUCUCGGUUCAGGCGCACCGAAAAGAUUUACCGAGAUAACCGACGUUUGAUUGGCCAAGUUUGAUUAUCGACGUCCGGCAUCGUCUUCUUGAGUCACUUCCACGUAUCUGAUAAGGGAGUUUAUCACUCGCAAGAGCCAAUCGUGAGAAAUUGGUCUCUGCGCGUUGAAUAUUGUAUCUUCAUCCACGAUCUAGAAAUAAGUUUCACACGCGUCGAAUGUGUGAAUGAGCAUGAAAUUAUAUAAUCCGUGCGAAGAGAGACUUCUUUUCGUCAAAAAUUCUCUUUUUUGUUUUAUUAUUCAAAUAUGCUUAUAAUAAUACAUAAUAUAAUAAUAUAAUUUGCUCAUAUCAAUAGAAAGAACGCGAUAAACGAUACAGUUCCAAUUACUUUGAUAUUAUUUAGGAAAGAUGCGUACAAAUCAAUGUCAGUUAAAGUUAAAGAGGUAAAUCCUUUUUUUAUAUCUUCAUACGCACAAAAGUGGAAUAAAAUAUCCCAUACGAUAAAUUAUUUAUCUCUUUAAUUUGAGAGAAAAAUCGAGUAGAUAAAAAUGAGAUAUAUCUGAAGAAAAUUAAUGUGAGAAAAGCGUUAUUUCUGAAGCUCCCGGCUUGUACAAUUUUAUUUUCCCACGGGAAUAGAUUUUUCCGAGAAAAGGAAGGUGCAGUCAUCUACUGGCUCGGAACAUACGAUGCGUGAUUACACCGAACCGCCGUUUAAUCCAGGGAUUCGCUUAUUUAUGACCACGGAUGUACACGUCAAGAUAAGAUCCGCACUUUAGGAAAACCGAGCGUCUCCUCUCAUUCCGGACUAUUUAAUCCAAUGAUUUGAUGAUUGAUAGCCGCUCGGAAACCGAGCCGGUAAACUGUCGCGCAGCUGCGACGUGAAUCGCGCGAGCAGUUGACAAUGAUUCCGCGCGUCCACCCCGCUGCCCUCAAUUGUUUCAUAGACCGCUCGUUUCCUCGGGCGAAUGCUGAGGCGGAGCUCGUCGACGUCGCCUGAAAAUUCUACGAAGCGUGUCGCCGCUAUUCCGGUCGCAAAAGUCUUUCUCUCUCUCUUUUACUUCUUCUAUCGAGCGGUCACGUCUCUUUUUUUUUUUUAUUUAACUCGUAGCGCCGGACACCGGGUGAGUUCUUGUGUCUCCGACCGGUAACAAGACUCCGCACGAAGUCACGGAAUGCGUAUGUGCGCGAGCAUACGUGUACAUACGUGCACACGUAAUGAGCCGACCGAGACGGAAGAUACAAAAAUACGAUAAUAAUCGCGACGACGCCGUCGCCUCGGGCGGAGUACUCGCUAGAGAGAUUAAGCUGUCUGACACGAAUUUUUGUACCGCGGUCCACAAAAAAAGCGAACGGAUAUACGCGGCAUGGCUCUUUAGAAUUGUCACAAAGAACGGCAGUCGGGUCAAUGAUUUAAAGAAAAAAAGCCCUUUUCAAAAUGACUGAUUCAAGAUUCGGUAGAAUCACGACGCCGCUUUGCGCGGAAUAAUAUCGCUCGCUCGCCGCCUCGAAUGAUUUUUACGCAACGGACCGAAUGAAGAAAAAGCGAUCAGCCGUUUUAGAAAGUGCAUCAUCCCAAAGUUCGUAUUAUUCUGCGGAAAAUAGCAACUUUCCAUUCGAAAAUCGAGACGGGCGCGCCCGCGAUGCACGAUGAUUUCAGUGUAAUUGCAAUCUCGAAGCGUCUGUAAACAAGGGCGCCUGGGAUUUAUUCGCGCAACGUUUGCCGCUACAGAAAAUUGCAGCCGGAAUCAUGGUGUACAGGUUAGCGAACGACCGUCGUCGUACGUCGAACGCUUAUAAUCAGACGCUUGGUGGUCGGCGGCAGCCUGUUACGGCGUCGGUGACGACGAUUUCGUAGUAGUAGUAGUAGCCAUCACGGCUAGUGGCUGGCGCCGCCGGACGUUCAACAAUGGUCGCGUCCCUCUUUCCCUUCGCCCCUUUUACACUCCCUGCGACGCCGCCAGUCUGCACUGCCACCGUGGCAGUCGUCAAACACCCCCGACUUCGAAUUGCCGCUUGCAAAUAUCACGCCGAGUCCGAGUCUUUUUGCUCAACGUAUCAAUUUUACUCUAUGAUUAUUUUCGUUAGCGAUUGUAAGAUGAUUGUAUCGAUUUUCAUUCAGUUGUUCUCUGCAUAUUUUUUUGGUAUAAAAAUAAUGCAGAAUAAUUUUACAACUACGUGUUAAAUUGAUCGGAAGCUCCUUCGGAUCGUUCGAUAAAAAUAAAUGUGAAAAUCCAGAGGAACUUUCUUAUCAAUGCGCUUUGAAUAAAAAGAUAACUUAUCGUCGAUGUGAAUCUCGUAAUAUAAGGUUCACCUUUGACCUAAAUAAACGGAAUCUAUCGCCAAUGUCGGACUUUACUGCGAUGAAAGAAGAGUUUUUGAAGCUACCUUUCUUCGGGUUCUCAUUCUUUCUCUUUUAUAACUUUGAAAUCCUAUUUUUAUAACAUGUGCAGCUGUGUCGAAAGUGAAGGAGAAUCUCUAAUGAAAUUCAAAUUAACGCAAUCUUACUGAAGGAUUUUAUAUUAAGGGGAUUCCAAAGUGGUCUGUUUUACCUAUUUCUUUCAAAUACACUAUACUUUUUUUUGGCUGUGUAGAAUGAAAAGUCCUUUUCUGUAAGUAAAGUACAUUUUCUAAUACACUACGGACGGUCGAUUUGAAAGGAUUUUUCAAGCCACGCAGCC